ACUGGAAUCAAACUCCUAGCCUUGGCGCCUAAGUGAUGUGUUCCUUGCAUCAUACGGCGCCCUGGCCGUGACCGUUAGCGUCACCAGGGUGCAAGGUAGAAAUGCCUGCAUCUCCCGUAUUUGGAAAGGUGUUUAUGGUUAGUCAAC
RNAcentral lists this non-coding RNA (147 nucleotides) under Brenneria goodwinii. Its description in RNAcentral is "MoCo sequence". It matches the Rfam family "Molybdenum/Tungsten riboswitch aptamer (Moco RNA motif)". Lineage: Bacteria; Pseudomonadati; Pseudomonadota; Gammaproteobacteria; Enterobacterales; Pectobacteriaceae. The record is from Rfam by way of RNAcentral.